UUCCAGUAACACACCGCAGGCGACUCUCUGUUCCAUGCUCGCACAUGCGCUGUUCCCGUCUUCUCUGGCUGUCAUCUCUUCCGAGAAGCCAUUCCCGGGCUCCCACAUUCCUUCCCAGGGCAGAGAGGUUUUCUAAGGAUGUAAGAUGUUCAGUGUCAAAACGGGGUCAAGCCAUAUGGAUCUCUCCUGUGCACCUUUCUCGGGUCCAGCAGGUAUGUGCAUACCCUUUGGCCCAAUUCCUCUGUUUGUGGUAGGGACAGAGGAGGCAAGGCAUCCAAGACAGCAGGAAACAGUUUUAUUUGGCUGCAGCCAGGUUCAGAGGGCACAGCUUCUGCUGUAAUCAAUCAAUCCCCUGAACCGUGAGUUCAGGGAGUUUCAGAAUUUUAUACCCAGCAUGUAGGAGGAGGGGCUCAGAAGUUCACAUUUUGCUGAAGUUCACAUAAAAGCAGUUUUUUGGGGUCUGGGAAUAUAGCUCAGUUGGUAGAGUGCUCACCUGGAAUGCACAAGGCCUUGGGUUCAAUCCCCGGCACUACAAAAAAAAAAAAAAAAGAGUUUCUUUCACUGUUCUGGGCAAGUUAACCCUUCAGGACAACACCUUCUCCCCUUUCUUUCCUCCCCCUGCCAGCUGUAACCAUGGAGCCCAGUUGGUAACUUCUCUUAUCUUAGAAAUGUAGACAUCUCUGUGAAGCCCCAGCUCAAGGCCAGAGUCCUUGUUUAAACAUUUCUACAAACUACUAUACUGGACACAUGUUUGUGAAAAACUAAUAAGGGGUGUCCAUCACCUGGAGUACUCUUUUCUUCCCAGCCAAAUAAGACAGGGCAACACGAAAAUAGGAAGUUUAUCUACAUUGAACUCUUUUGCAGAGACUCUUUUGCUGACAGUCCUAAAAUCAGCCAUGGUGAAGAUUUCUGAAGAAGCCCAGUUAAGACUUUUCUGUGGAGAAAGGGGGUGACACUACAUGUUGAACGAAUGGGCUUGGGGCAUGAGGACUCAGAUGAGUCAGGAAGAUAGACCCCUUGUGUCCUGGCUUGGGUGAAUGAAUGGGGACCCCCAAGGGCAUCCCCUCUUAGGGCUGGGAGAGGGUUUGUGGGGCCAUAGUGACUGGGAACAUGGUUGUGGGCUUGGCCAGUGUGCAGUGCCUGCAUCAGACCUAAGUGAAGAAGAUUGCUGGGUAUUCUGUUCUGGAGAGGCUGAGGGGACCUAACAAGCUAUGUAGGAAGGUUUCCUUCAACUUAUUGAGUCUCACAUUUCUCCCUCCUGUGUUAAUUACCACCACAAUUUUAGUUCACUUUUAUCUUCCAAAAAUCCAGUCAAAUCCUGGGAGAAGGUGCCAUUUGGUACAGACUUCACCGCUGCCUGGGGUUUCUCUCUUUUUCUCCAUCAUCACAUAAAGUUGAUCAUUUCAUUCAUUGUGAGAACCUAAAAAUGUAGUCUAUUUGGUUCUUGGACACAAUUUGUGAAGUCUCUAGAAGAUGUUGCCUAGCUAUAGGUUGUAAGAUCGUUAGUUAAAUAUUACCUUUAAGCUGUGGUGGGGCAGUUCGCUCAGAGAGCACACCAAGUCCCAGUUUGGUCCAAAUGGAAGAGUCUUUAUUUAGCCAGUCAGCCGGCGACUUCUCUCUAAACAGGACCCAUAACACUCUCUCUGCAAGGAACAGCCCUGAGCCUGAGCAUUUUAGGAUACUUAAAGGCAAAAACCAUAUCUGGGUUGAUGUAGCUGCAAGCAAGCAGGUACAGAAGCUGAACUGGGCAUGAGCGAGACAAUGCAGUGGGUACAUUGGUUAUUUCCCAAGGGACUUUCCAGGUAGGCAUAGCAGCAAGCAAGCAGAAGGGAUGUGGAUCAACAUGACCCUACUUCAGAACAAGUUAGAGAAUGGUUACUGAUAUCUAGACAGUCAAUCUCUGACAAGGUACAUCGCCCAAGAAAAAUGGAAACCAAAGAGAACAAUUUUACAUUGUAUAAGAAUUGCUAUUCUGUGUGGCGAAGGAUGCUAUGUUAGGUAACUAUUAAUGGGUACAGAGGCGGGGCUUUCCCACGGGAGAAGCAUUUCUUACAUGACACGAGUCUCAGGGUAAAAUGGAGUCUGUUUGUUCAUUGCCCAUAUAGUCUGGCCCAUAAAAUAAGUGACAACUGCCAAUUAACAUUGAACUUUUUGGGAUGGCAUUUGAAGGGGAAAAAUGGUCAAUGAUUCAAUUUUAUGAUGUACUAAUAUGUUAUUUGAACAACCCAAACUGAUUAUUUUUGAAAACGAGUAAGCAAGUGGCAAUUACUGUGUACUUUUGUUUUUCACUGUGCUCAUUUUUAAACACAAAGAACUGUAUUGGCUCUCAUAUCUGGAAAGGACCUUGAAAACCUCACAGGCCAUCCUUCUCAUUUUGUAAAUGAGAAGGCUGAGGCAUUCAGGGGUUAAUGACUUGCCUGUGGCAACAGUACAAAUAUAGAAAGUUGAGAUUAAGCAAUAUCUUUGCUCUCUAAAUUGAUUUCCACUGUUAGUUUGACCCAGGAAAACUCUUGCAAACACCACUCAAUGUAGAAGCAAAAUUGUCAUCAAUUAAAUUACUGCUUAAUAGGCUAAUAUAAGGUAUAUACUGCAUGUAUUCUAUUUCCACCUCUUUGGACGUCUUCCUUGAUUUACUCCUAAUAGCACAAAAUCGAAAUGAAAGCUGUAAGAUGUGCAGUGAUCAUGGACCCAGAAUCCUCCCAGGGCAAGGUACAAUGUAUUUAAAUACAUCAAAAGGAGAUGAAGACAUGUAUUAUUAAUUAGUUUUUCAGAACACACAUGGCAGAUGUGUUUGCAUUUCGCUUGGUGGGAUGCCAUGUCAUUACUUUUUAAUGUACACACAUGGAACUAAAAAAAAAUUAUACAUAGCACCAUAUUGAGUAGAAGAAGCCCAUAUUGGAAAUUUGUUGCAAAGUAGAGGAUGGAGGUUGAAAUAAGAAAGAGAGAUAGGGAGAGGGAGAGGGACAGAGAAAGAGAAUGAUAUGGUCUUCCUAGAAGUUGUAAACAGGUUUUAGGAAAACUGCCCAUAAAAAUCAAUAACAGGGGCUGGGGUGGAAGAGCACUCACCUAGCAUGUGCAAGGUCCUGGGUUUGAUCCUCAACACCACAUAAAAAUAAAUACAUAAAAUAAAGGUGUACAACUAAAACUAGAAUAUUAAAAAAAAUCAAUACUAAUCCAGAUGCUGUGGCUCACGCCUGUAAUCCCAGCAACACUGGAGGCUGGGGCAAGAGGAUCAUGAAUUCAAAGCCAGCUUCAACAAUAGCAAGGUGCUAAGCAACUCAAUGAGACCCUGUCACUAAAUAAAAUACAAAAUAGAGCUGGGGAUGUGUGGGGAUGUGGCUCAGUGGUCAAGUGCCCCUGAGUUCAAUCCCUGUACAAAAAAAAAAAAAAAAAUCAAUACUAUGGUUCGAAUGUGACUUGUCUCCUGUGAAACUCAGGUUAAACUUAAUCCCCAUUAUGAGAUAUUAAGAGAUAGGACCAAGGAGGACCUUUAAGAGGUCAUUAGAACUCUGCACUUAUGAUCGGUUAAUCCAUUCACUCAGUUUAUGGAUUAGUGAGUUAAUGAGUUAUCUGCAGAGAGGUCUGCUAUAAAAGCUAGUUUGACUAGGUCUCCCACACUCCCUCUCACUGUGUGAUAUAUCCUGUGCACCAGGGGACUCUGCUAGCAGGAAUGACAUCAUCAGAUGUGGUCUCUCAACCUUGAACCAGACCCAUGAACCAAUAUAAACCUUUCUUUAUGACUUAUCCAGUCUGUGGUGUUAUGUUACUAGCAACAGAAAACAGACUAAGACAGUCAAUAUCUUCUGGACCAUGCAUUUGGUAAAACAUGAAAGAACUUUCUGACAAUUGGUUUUUAAAAACAGAAAAAUAAUUUGUUUUCAACAAGCAUUUGCUGAGUGCUUCCUGGGUGGUCCGAGUCUGGAGGAGAUUGUGGUCCAGCAGAGGAAAUACUGAUGUGGGCAUGUAUAACAGGAGGAGGCAAGAGUCCUGAGAAAGUACUGCUGAAAAUCAGAGGAGGAAGUGGGGCCUUUCAGCUGAAGAAAUCAGGGCAGGCUUUGUGGAGGGCGAGCAUGAAAUAGGAAUAGGAUUUGAAAUCCCGGAGAGUCUGGGGACAAUUAGGGCACUUAUUCACCCUAGACCUUGACUGGCUAUCAAGAAUGGAAGGGCCAGCAAGUGCAAAGGCUUGGGGGCAGGGAAAUGAGCAGGGGCGGGCCAGAGAGGAAAUGAUGAGUAGAGAGGGGAUGAAAUGAGGUAAGAAGUGGUCUUCAUUAAAUCUCUUAACAUUCUAACAAUAACAACUUUAUUAUUAUUAUUAUCUAUUUAACAGGGAUUGAACCCAGGGGUGCUUAACCACUGAGCCACAUCCCCAGCCCUUUUUUACUUUUUAUUAUGAGUCAGGGCCUUGCUAAAUUGCUGAGGCUGGCUUUGGAUUUGGGGAACCUCCUGGGCCACUGGGAUUACAGGUGUGCACCGCUGCGCCUGGCCCAAUAACCUCACUUUAAUGGGAGUGGCUAAGAACAACAAGGAAGUGUGGGAUGUGGGGGCAGAACAUGGAGACGGAGUCACCCUAAAGAUGAAGAGUUGAUGAGUCCCACAGUCUUCAGGCUCUCGGGCCCAGUUAUGUGCUCGCUGUACACUUGGAAAGCUAGCCUCUGGGCUGCACUGAUGAUUCUGAGCACUGUGCUCCAUUGUAGACAUUGCAGAUUGAAACACAGACCUUGGAGAUGUACAUUUGAAUCUGCCUGUGAGCAAUCCUUUCAUGAUCCUGCUCCGGCAUCAGAGGGGAGGGAGGAUCAGCUCCAUUGUGAGCAGCCUCUGAAUUAAAUUUAGAAAAGCAAAGGCUGAGAACUGGAACCACAGGGUUCCCUCGUGACAACAGCCCUUACCGACUACACACAUUUUUGUGAUUGGGGGUUUUAGUCCCAGGAUGUGCUUCCCAGCCUGCUAAACCAAGGACUUUACGCCUUCUUGGGGACUCACUAGGUGUCAGAGGGGCCUUGGUUUAUGAAUUCUGUUUUCUAGAAUGAGUUGCUUCUAUUCGUCUCUCCCGAUGUAACUAAUAUUUUCAACGCCUCAUUGCUUGGUGUUUUCCAUUUUUUUCUAAGCAAUGAAAAGAAAGGAAAGCCUGGGGCCGUUUCUUUUGUGUUAGACGCAUAUUUGAGGGAUAUUCAAUAAUUGCAGCCCAGAGCAAAAUAGAGCAGGAUUUUAUGGCCAAGUCUUACGUUGAUAGAGUGGAUAGGCUGAUAGCCAUGUUCCCCUUUCUCAAACAAAUGCAUCCCUGUGAAAUGAACUGUCAGAAGAACCACAGGUUUAGGAAGCCUGGGGUAACUGAGGAGUAGUACAUGGGUCCCGAGGAGCUGACGUUAAUGUUGACACACGAUGUUUCUGGGCAAUUUGAUCCAUGCCAAUAACUGAGUUUGUUUCCUGCUGCAGGAUUCAUUUUGCUCCUAAGUCAUUUGAAGUUUUAUUAAAGAUUUACCUGGUGGCCUUUUAAAAGCACAGCAUUUACUGUCAAGUGUGUUUGGACACCAUUUGUGCUUAUUGAACAUUAGUAUGACACUGGACCAGAAUGUUUUAAAACUCAACAAGAGCUUCUUAAUGUCUAAUUCAGGUCCUUCUUUCUCUAAUUAUACUGGCAUAGUGCCUUCGCAAUGUCAAAACUGAAAAACUAUAUGACAAACCUGACCUAAGAUACAAUCAUUGAUUCAUCUAAGAGUAAAAAUAGAAACCAGUCAUUUUUGGCCUGUCAGGCUCUUAUAUUAAAAUGACAGUUCUUCAUCUGUUUUGCUGUAAUGAUUAUGACCAUUUUGUCUCUGUUAUCUUGCAUCUGAGUCACCCAGAAAUUUUAUCCAACAUUUUUAAUGCAGAACAUUGCAUGCAGCCUCUUUUUAGAACUCCAAUAAAGUCCUUCAAAGAUCUUGCUUUUAACAAUUCUAUCAAAAUGGACUUAGCAAGUAGUUCGGGUAUUAUUGUUAAGCUUGGUGUUUUAAAAUCGCGCUUCAAUAUUUAUACCCAGAGGUGAUAAUCCCCAGAGUAAAAGCGCUGCCGUUGAAAUCUUCCAUUUGGGAUGAGUCUGCUCUUUUGAUGAAGAAGAAUGCUGAUUACAAAAACAAUGCUUUAAACCUGAGCCCGGAUGCAGAAAUUUUAAAUCUGUCUUUCAAAGAUUAUUUCACACAGCUUCGGCAUAAAAAAAUCGUUGGCAAUUUCUUCUGAAUGACUCUUCCAUUUUCUUCAUAAGUGUAUUUUCCCAGAGUGUUGCUUAGAUAUGACCCAUGUUAUACUGAAAUGCAGGGUGUGUGUGCGCGCGUGCACACGUGUGUGCACAUGGGUGCACAUCUAUGUGUAUACACGUGUUCUGGCAGAAAGGAUAUGCCAGAUGAUGUGUUCCUUGAUUUGGAGAAAAAAGGUUGAUGGCUUACCUUUUCUACUUUCUAAAUUAUUGAGAAAUAUAUGCAUUUUUAAAAAUAGAAGAAGAAAAAGAAGAGCUUCGUCUUGGUGCAAAUAUUCACUCACUGUUCAAAAUGGCCCCACUUCCUUUUGGCCUCUCUGCUGCACUGAUGAUUCUGAGCACCGUGCUCCAUUGUAGACACUGCAGAUUGAAACAAAGACCUUGGAGAUGUACAUUUGAAUCUGCCUGUGCCACUUGCUUGCUGUGUGAACUUAGACAAGGAUCUUAACCUCUCUGAGUCUCACUUUUCCCACAUGUCAGGUGAAGGAUGGUGAGAAGAGCCAGCAGAGUAGUGUUGUGAGGAUGAAAUGAAAUGCCACCCUUGAAAUGACAUGACAUGACACUUGAUCCGUAGGAAGCACCCAAUGAGUUGUAGCCACUCAUAGCAGCUGUGAUCACAGGGGAAGUAUGGUGAUUACAAACUUGGUGGCGACAAGAAAAGGGCCACUAACAUCUACCAUUCAACAUAUACCAGGCAGGUAGCAUUGUCAUGGGUGUGGGUGGAAUUCAUGUAGCUAGUGUUAGAGAAGCUGGAGGACAGCCUGUUGGGGGCAAACAUAACUGAGCCAAUGUGAUUACUUUGAAGUGUAUAUAUCAAGUGACCCAAAAGUACUGCCAGUGGGAGGAGCUAUGGAUGAUUGACAUAGAGCAGCAACGGCAGGUAUUCACAGAGCACUUAGAUGGUGGACUGUGCUGAGCAUUGAGGACUGAAAGAUGCACAGACAAGCUCCUGUCCCAAAGUCGGCCAGCUUCUGUGUGAGUGUGAGUGUGAGUAUGAGAGUGUGUGUGCAUGAAGGUGUGUGUGAAUGAGGUUGGGUGGAAAGAACUUGAGAAGGAAACUUGGUGUAGCAAGACCUUGAGAGGUGAACUCAGCUAUCAGGUUGUCCCUCCCUUGGUGACAUCCAGGGCUGGUCCUAUAUUCCCACCCUAUGGAGUUUAUAAUCCAAUGAAGAUGGAUAAGCAGAGCUCAGAUCCCCUUCCAGAACUUUGUCUAACAGUGAGCCCCAUACCGAAGUUGAAAUCUCCUACUAAAACAUAUAAAAAAAGUAAAAAGAAACAGAUGGAACUCAUUUUAAUAAUGUACAUAUUUUCACCAUAUAUAUAUGUAUAUACAUAUGUAUUUUUUUAACCCCAAACAUUCUCAAUAUAAAAUUCUUUUUUUCCCCCCUGUGGUGCUGGGGAUUGAACCCAGGGCCUUGUGCAUGUGAGGCAAGCACUCUACCAACUGAGCUAUAUCCACAGCCCUAUAUAAAAUUCUUAAUGAGAUAUUUUAUUUGAUUUUGGACCAAAUCUUCAAAAUGGGAUGUGUUUUCUGCACUCACAGCACAUCUCUAAUUUGGCAAUUCUAAGGGUGGUGCUUGGCCUCACAAAAUGGAUAUGCUCUGGCCCCCAUCUGCACCUUCCAAACCAGGAGGAUCGAACAGGAUCCAUGAUGACUCAUCCGCCAUGCUGUCUGAUGACUUUAAAAGCUUGUCAUUUGAGGAGAUGACACACCCUCCCCUCUAAUCAUAUUUGUGUAGUCCAUUUCCUUAUCAUAGGUUAGGUAAACCACGUUAUCACAGUCAGGCCAAAGGUAGACCUCAGGUCAGCCCUCGGAAUCAGUGGCAUCUACUUAGGCUUUUCUUAAUCAGGAGGUUGAGUUACUUAGCAAAAAAUGAAGAGAGACAAGAGGAAGAGGAGACAGGAACAAGUUUUUAUUCAACUAUGGAAUGAAUGACUCCACUGUUCUCAUCCUUGCUCUUCUUUCCUGACAUAAAGGAAAUAGGAAAGGGAGAAGGAGAGAGAAGGGAGGAGGAUGAGAAUUUGCAAAUUCAUGGGCUUUCCCAGUCUGAGUUCCUCACCUAGGGCUGGCCUCAUGGACAUCUGACCUUAGAAGGGCUGGCUCUCAUUUAAUUCUCUGCUGUCACAGUGUUGAAAGUCCCAACAAUUUUUUUGGACAGGGGUCCUGCCUUUCCAUCAGGGCCCCACAAAUUAUGUAGGUGGUACUCUCCCCUGCAGGUGUAAGGGAGUGUGGAGAUUAGGUAGGUUUUGGAGGAGUUUAUGCUCUUUUUGACUUCUCCAUCACUAAAAUCUCUAGCCAAAGAAAGCAAGACAGCAAGCAAGCAAUCAAGAAAGAAAGAGAAGAGAAAAGAAAACAGAAAACAGGUCUGGGGUAGAAUUGGGCUUAAUAAUGCAUUAGAAGCAGAGUGUCAGCGGAAGGCUAAAUGCUGAAACUGUGUAUCAAAUCACCAUUUAUCAUAGGACAAAGAGCGAGUUCCUCAAUUAAUCAGCGCCUAUCAACAGUCCCGCCCUCCCAGCCAUCCCUCUAGGGUCCUAUUCCUGGUGUUUGAAUAGAGGCUAGUACUUCUGGGCAGUGCCAGUGAGUCAGCCGUCCCACUGAUAAUGAAAGUUUUAUGUGGAUGAAAGUGAACACAUUAACUUGUUUCUAUUCUGUCAACAAUUUAAGCAAAGAGUAAAAGUAUAUUGGUAGUUUUAGUGCUCUGAUGCGAAAUUGAAUGUUUUGAGCCUUCUCAAAGCUUUGAGAUCCAAGAAAAUCACUUUAGUGCUAAUCUACUUGGGAUAAGUUGUAAAGCUUUCAAUUCAGAAUUUGUUCUGUGGACCAGUAGCAUUGGCAUCACCCCAAAGCUGGCUCCCCUACCAUCUGCCCCAAUAAGAAUCUGCAUUUUAGAAGCUCCCCAGGUGGUUUAUGUGUGUAAUAAAGUUUGAGAAGUGGUUCAACAGCUGCUUGUCUUGGUGAGGAAAGGGGGUUUAAACCAUCCCCAAAUGAAUCUAUUUAGUGCCUGAGCCACUUGGAAAGUUAUGGGAGAGGAAGGGACCUCAGAGGGUGGUCCCAGACCAGCAGCACCAAUAUCACGGAAGCUUGUUGCAAAUGAAGAUUCUCAGACUUCCACCUCAAAUCCUCUGUGGAAAUUCUGGGGUAGGGGCAGGGUCCGGCCACCUGCAUCUCUGUCCUAACAAGAUUCCCAGGUGACCCGGAUGCAUGGCAAGGCUCAAGAACCACUGCUGGGGGCUGUUAGUGGUAACGGUGUGGGAAGGGUUGCAACUGAUUGUAUAUUUUCAUUUUGUUGGAGGCACUGGGAAAUCAGGUCUGGUAGCGCCAUGAUCCUAGCUUUGAAAGAAGUGAUGAUGCUCUGAUGAUGAAACUAUUACCUGAAAUUUGUUAUUUUUAUUUUCGAGGGGACAGAAAGAAGCUCAAUGGUUGAUUAAAUAAGGUGCAUGGAAUGUCCUGAGAUUGAUGAAUCGGAGGAAGUGAAGAGUUAAAGGAAAAGCAAGAGAGCCAACUUUGUCCGUGGUGGUGGUGACUUACUGCUGGGCUCACCUGGGACAGGAAGAAUCCUUUCUCUCUUGCUUCAAAGUGUCAGGCAGUGCCCCGUGUUUUUCAUUUGGGCUGCUUGAGCAUCUAUUGCAAUGGGUCUGAUGCUGUGAUAGUCAAGCGGGGGUGGUCCAGAUAUCUCCAAGACACCGUCCAUGAUCCCAAAAGGCUUCAGCCUCAUGGGAGAUGUUGCUUAAUAAAUCAGUAGUUAGAAAACAGUAUGUGUUAGUGAAAAGAUUUGGGGCUAUAGAGAUGGGAUCCCCAAGGAAAGGUGGAUGAGAGUGAGCCAUGGAAGUCUUCCAUAAGGUGGUGACAUGCCCGUGCAGUGCUUAAGGAAGAGCGACUAGCCAGGCAGUCAGGAGGGACAUGGGCAAUGCAUCCUGUGGAUAAGUCAUGACGUAAACCUGAGAAUUUAUUCAAUCAUCCCAUAAAUAUUUAUUCAGUGUCUGCUGUGUACCCGACACUGUUCUUUAAUGAACAAAAUAGACAAACAUGGGUUCAUUCUAGCAGAGGAAUAUAGACCCAACACACACACACACACACACACUAAUGUGAUUGAUAUAAUCAUGCUGGUGUGAGAUGAGGUGGUGUAAGAAUCCAGAACCUUUAUCAUCAUCUUCCACAGCAGGAAUUUAAGUCUAUAGUGUCUUAAAUUAUGGAUCAAGAAGAAGCAUUAUAAAUAUAUUGUUUAGAAAUAUGCAAGCUUAUACAAGAAGAAAGAGCUAAAAUAGUCUGGAAAGAAAGGUUCAGGAGUGGGAGACUAGGGACUUGUAUUUUUCAGGAUGAGACUUUUCGAGCAUUCCAUGUUCCAUUCACUCAUUCAUUCAUUCAUUCAUUCAUUCACAAAUAUGCAUAAAUACGAUUGUGGGCCAGCUCCUGAUUGCAGGGAUCCAGAAACACAAAAUUUUCUGCCCUGGCAGAACCUAGCUUCCUGGGCCACAGCUAGAAAGGGUGGGGGUGGAGGGUGUUCUCUCAUUUAGAGUAAUGAGCUGGGCCUUGCUGGGAACGAUAUUUGAAUAAAAAUUGUAGAGGAAGAGCCAUCUAGAAGUUGGGUGGGGGAACUUCCCGGGGCAAAGGUCUGGGGUGGUGAGUGUGGGUGGAGCAGAGGGCCCUAUGCUACUGCCGAGGGUUGGGAGGGACAUGGGAGUAAAAGAGGGCAGAGGCAAACAGCCAUGACCCGCUGAUGGCCAAUGUCCUGCAAGGACUCGGAAUGUACUCUGUGUAACAUGGGAAGCCACUGGAUAUUGUCUGUGGAGCAAUUCCCUACUCUUUAAAAAAAGACACAAAGACCACACAUGAUAAACACGGAUUUAAGUUAAUGGUAUAGGCAAUGUAUCACUUUUUCAAAUGUAUUUUUUUCCCAAUCAUUGAGAUGGAAAGUAGUACCAGUGGCAAAAAAACGUGCACACAGAUUUGAAUGCAAUUUAAAACGAAAAGCUAAAGAGCAAACUAGUAAUGAUUCAGGUGAGACCCUAAUACCUCCCGAGUAGGGCAGCAGCUUAGGGCUCUGGUAACACAGUCUGCAUGAUUGCAGUUUCCUUUCCUACACGCGCCGCCCAGUCCAGCUGCCCUUCCACCAGCUGCCCCCAAUCAUUAGAAAUUCCUAGGACCUCAUAAAGAUGCACAAUUAUUAUGUAUUAAUCAAAAAUUAAAAAAAAUAAGCUUAAGGAGAUGGAAAUACUAAUUACCCUGAUUUGAUCAUUACACACUGUAUGUAUGUAUUAAAUUAUCACAUGGUAGCCCAUAAAUUUUUUGAGUCAAAUAAUAUUUACUAAAAAGGAGACUAAAAGAAAAAAAACGGUUUAUAUUUGUUAUAUGAAUUUUACUUCAAUAAAAAAUGAAAUAAAAGGAAAAAAAAACAUAUGAGAGUAUUUUGUAUCAGCCAGGUACAAAAAUGAGUAAGUCUGUCGUGGAUGUAAACAGGACACGUGGCUAAAGGAGGGCAAGGCAGAGACAGGAGGAGAACAGAUGCCAUCUGGCAAAUGUCACGCUGUUAUCACGAGAGGUUGUUAUUUGGCGUUGAAGUAGCUUUCAUAUCCCUUGGGAGAAUGCUUUCCAAGCCUUUUCCCUUUUCUGACAUCUAAUUCAGUUGGCACAUUAAUUCUGAGACAAAAGUGCACAGGAUAAUGGUAACCUUCAGGACUGGCCUGUGCCGAUAAAUGGGUGUUGAGUGAGUGAGCAAGUCACCUUGAGUGAUGACUCAAGAAGGCUCACCUGGAAACAGUCUGUCUCUCUUACCCAUCGCACAGGUGUGUCACCUCCAGCCAUGGAAUGAACAGAGUGUCACAGUAGCCAAUGGUGUCUCCCACGGAAUGGCAAACAGCCAUGACCCGCUGAUGGCCAAUGUCCUGCAAGGACUCUGAAUGUACUCUGUGUGACCUGGGAAGCCACGGAAGCUGACAUGGGAAGCCAAGCUGAAGGAUGGGUUUGAAUACCCCAACUGCAACAAAGGACUGUAAAAUACCUUCAGGGAGGUCUGGAUUCAGAGUCCAACAUAGUGAGCACACAGUUGAUGGUCAACAAGUCCGUAAAUUGUGAAGGAAAAAUGCCCAGUUUAUCUGUUUUAAAGGGGAAGAAAAUAUUUUUUUCCCUUAAAAAUUCUGUUUUUGUGGUGUCCACUAUCAUUCAAAAUGCAUUUUGACAUAUACCUUAGUCUAAAUAAGAAGUUUGCCUGUUUUUCUAGGUAAAAGUGAACAUAAAAGAAUCAUAUCAGCUUUGUCUUGGGGAAAAAUUAUCACAAGAUCUGGCUGGGGUCAAAAGGCAUAGGGUAACUGUGACCUUUGAGGAAAUAAUAUCAAUGUGAUAAAAUACAUCAUUUGGGAUCUCAAGUGUUUUAUUCCCCCCACUUUUUUUUUUUAAAUUGGUGCAUCAUAGUUGUACAUACAGGCUCUCAAGUCUUUAAGAUUCUAUGUCAUGCUUAAAAAAUAAGUAUGCGUUUCUCUUUGGCUCCCUCUGCUGGAUGAUUUUCUUUCUGCUUUGGCUCUUGUGAUUGAUAGCUCAUACAGCUGUGAGGUUCUUGCUCGCUCUCCAUCCACAAGAUUAUGUUGAAUUAUAAUUAGAUUCAGGAGAAACCCUUCAGCCAAUGGUUCUCAUUCAACUUCAAUUGGGAUCUGCUGGACGGUGUGAUGUUCUCAGUGGAAGUUAUAAAGGCUUUUGUUGUGUGCAACGGUUCUGUCCUGGAGGAUGGAGUUCGGUCACACUGUUUGCAGAUCUGAGAAAUAAGAAUCUAUGAUUCUUUGUGCUUUUAACCUAGGGACCAUUGCAUCAAACCAUCAUGGAAAUUUUAAGGAAUAUAUCAAAGUGUAUGUAUCAAGUGGAGCAGAGUGGCCCAAGUGACAAAACAGGUGCCAUAAACGCCCAGUGUCUACUUCAUCAGACAGAGGAGCUCAGAGGAGGCACUGGGGAAACUCAUGCGGCUGGAGGGUUUGUGUCCUGUAUCCCCAGCCUCCAAGCACCAAAGCCUGCCACACUGCACACCUCCAGACUCUCCUGGGUAUCUUGUCCAUUGUUGAUGAACUAAUUAUAUUCAGGUGCCAUCUGCAUGGAUCAAGAGUGGAAUAUUGGCAAUUUUGCAUGAGUCAAUGUAUUUAGAACAAAACCCUUGGCCAGUAUUCUGUAUCAAAUGAGAAAUAAAAUUCUUUGUUCAUUGUUACAAGACUUCAUGUGCCAUAAAGUGGUGUAGAAGGCUAGAGUUAAAUUUUUUUUUUUUUUUUUUUAGGGAGCGGGGAGGUUUAAGGGAGGUAAAAACCCAGUGGAUCCCGUUUAGGUAGAAAUUACUUGAUAUGAUACAUAUAAUACAAAUCUCAAAUUGCUAUGAUCUUUUAGGAAUGAAUUGUGAAUGUCUGAUACUCCUCUAUUCCUCGUGAAACUGUGGACAUGAUCCUAGAUCAGAAAAUACAUGGAGUCCGGGCCUAGGUUGCUAUGAAGCCAGCAGGGGGAGCUCUUGCUCUUCAUAUCUAAUAAGGGCCAAAGCAACCCUCCCAAGGCUCUUAGUGAAACUCAGGUUUGUGACUCAUAAGGGCGUGUGUGUGUGUGUGUGUGUGUGUGUGUGUGUGUGUGUGUGUGUGUGUGUGUGUUUUAGCUCAGUUUAAAUUGGCAGUUUUGCAAAGGACAGCAUGAUGUAUUUCUUAGUGCACAGCAAAAAUUGAACAUUAUCUUGAAAACUAUUUGGGAAACAUACAAUUUUUAAAAUAAAAAACAAUACAUAUCUUUUGUCUUAAUUUUAAUUUUUGCCAUAAACAUGAGUUACCUGAGGGGAAACACAGACACUUUUCAAUCUUUAAAGUGUUUACACUGAUCCUAAACUAUCCAAUUCAAAUUAUCCACCCCUGUUUUUAGUAGCCUGUGUUUAGUGAAGGGGUCAAGACCCUCUCCUGCUAGUGAAGAUUUAAUGGUCUGUUCACCUUUCUGAGACAGAGAUAUUGAUGGAUAGGUCUGACUGUUUCUACUGUAAUUUUCAUUUUCUUUCUUUCCUUUUUUUUUUGUGGUGCUGGGAUUUAACCCAGGGAUGCUUUAUCCCCAGUUUUUUAUUUUUUAUUUUUAGACAGGCUAUUGCUAAGUUGCUGAGGCUCAUCUUGAACUUUCGAUCCUCCUGCCUCAGCCUCCUGAGUUCCUGGUAUAACAGGAUUACAGGUGUGUACCACCAUUCCUGGCUGUAAUUUUCAUUUUUCUCCUGCUCUGUCAUCUGUAGCAGAAGUUGGAAAUUUUUUUCUCUAAAGGCCAGAAGAUAAAUAUGUAAGGGCUCGUGGGUCAGAGAGAUACUGUUAGCCUAAGCACAGCCAUAGAAAUGUGUAGACUGAACGGUGUGGCUGUGUCCUAUUGAAACUUUAUGUGCAAUUUGGCCACCCCUUUGACCUAUAAACAUCUAUGGAGAUUGAAAGCACAGUUAAUAUUUUCCCUUUACCUAUUAUUAUAUAUUCUCUGUAGACUCAAACUCUUUUCUAAUUAAGAAGAAAAUAACCAAAUCAGAAAGUCCUGUUUCAAAUCCUUUUGAACUGUUCCUCUUACAACAUUCCUGACAAGCAACUUUGCCCUCUGUUUGGAAAUCUCGUACUCCCUGUCUUGCUCUGUAAAGAAGGUGGUGGCCCCAAAGGGUAGACAAGACAAGCUCUUGAGCAGCAGUGUGGCAAUUUAGAAACCAGUGCUGCGGACAUUGUAGACUUUUGAACUUUUCAUUCAAUCAUUGUGUAUUCUAAAUUUUCAAAGAAAGAUGCCACAGUAUCAAGUAACCGGCGUGACUGGCCCGAAACAUCCCAGGAGAAUCUGGUUUAAGAUUUUUCGAGAAGCUGAUCCAAGAACAUUUUCUUUCUCUCUUUGUUCUGUGGGGUGAUACACAAGGUUUCUUUCUAGGAUGCCUCGAAGACACAAAUGCCAAGAUGGAAAUAAAUCCUGACAAGUUAUCUUGGAAAGCAAGCCAGCCCUGAGAGAAGGGAUGAUUGUUAGGGUAGGAACGGGGACUUUCUGUCCACCACCUGACCUUGAGAAUGGAUUGUUUCCUUCAAGUUUGAGUGGGAGGCCGAGGUCUGGAUGGCUGUCUGCAUUUUCAGCGACGCUUCCCUUGCUGAUGGUAGCAGUUUAGAUAGUUGUUACCCUCCCUUUUUAGGGACAUUGUUCUGGGGCUGAACAUGGAAGAGAAGAAAUGAGAAGUGACCAAAAAAGGAAAAUCCUGGAGGUAGAAGAGAUACAUCUUUCUGCCUUUUAUAAUGAGAUUUUUUUUUUUUUUUUUUGGUAAGCAUCAGAGGUUACUGCAGGCACCAGAAAAAUGGUGGGGGGUAGAAGUGAGUGCCUGCCCUUUUCUGCUAGGGCAGUGAGACCCCAGUGAGCACACAGGCCCCUUCCAGAUAUCACUGGAUCAUUUAAGAGUAGCAGAGAUCACUUAAAAAGUUUUAUUUCUAAAGGAUCCUUGGAGUCAGCUGUGAGUUCUUACCUUGACACACUUCUGGUGGGCAAAGUGGGGAGGAUCAGAGCCCACGUCCUAUCAGGAGAUACUGGAAAUGGACCAAAGCCCUGGACUCCCAGUCCCAGACUCCAUCAGCACAGCUCCCCUAUGUCAGACAUCUGGGUCACUCCUGUUCAGGCUGCCCAGUCUCUGGACCCUGGGAUGGGUCUCCAGCUGGCCCAGAGGUGUGGGUCCCCAGCAUCCCUUGUCCAGUUUCCCAAAGACUCAGCAUAGCUUUUCUGGAGGGCGUGGCUUUAACCUUUUGCAUUGAAGAAAUAGUAGGCUGAUGCUGAUAGAGAAGGAAACUGACCUGCAUGUCUGCUCUCCUAAGGCAGCUCCAGUGUAGACUGAGACGGAACUGCCUCUUGGUCAUGUUCGCCUCUUGGUGGCUGAGAGGUCAUGGGGUGGGGGUGGAAGAGGGAACACUGGAGUGACAGCGUCUUCUCCCUUGGGCUGUGUUGAUUUUUGGUGCAUUCACACUUGAUGUAGGGACAGAGGAAAGACCCAGAAAAUACUUUAGCUCCUGGAGCAGGGCCUCUUCUAGAACUUUCUAACCACCUAACACUGUAUGGAGAAGAGCAGGAGACUGAGUGAGAAAGGUAAUAAGCCAUGAACCCACAAAAGGAUCUCUUGCCCUUGGCUCAGCCUCCUGCAGGGGUGCAGGGGUGGAGAGAGACCCCUCCUUCUGCAGGGCUGCCAACCGGUAAGUGUGUCCCUCCCCCACUCCCAGCACUGUUGCCAAGUACAGUUCAGUACAUCCGGAUGACUUCCAUUCUCAUGCAUCGUGUACAAGUUAGCCCUUUUCUUGAGCUAAGCAAACACAACAAACAAACAAAUAAAUUAGAUUUUCCACGGCUUCCCAAACAUUUGUAAUAAUGCGUUUUCUUCUUGGAAUGUCCUUCUCUGGUCUGCCAGCUGAUUACUGUUUUCAGAGGACACUAAUGACAACCCGGAUGUGAUGUCUACAAAGCCCCACAUUAAGGAAGCUUGCGUGGCAAACCUGCCAUUCAGGUAAUGACUGCUGCUCUCUGGAAAAACAAGCUGAUGCUCGUGAGGGGAAGGCCAGGUGGCAAUGUCUGGAUGCUGGAGAGGGGGCGAGGCCCGUCACCCCUGACCCGGUGGGCAUGGGGUCGUGAAUGGCUUUAUGCAGUUUUUGUUAAGUUGGGAGAUAGCUUCCAGAGGGUGGAAAGAGCUUUACUAAAGAGACACAUUUCCUUUCUUCCUCCCAACUCGAAUCAAUUUCAUUAUCAUAACGAGCAGAGGUAGUAAUUA
This 16971-nucleotide long non-coding RNA is filed under the name Marmota monax (woodchuck). The record is from RNAcentral. Lineage: Eukaryota; Metazoa; Chordata; Mammalia; Rodentia; Sciuridae.